UUAAGCGACUAAGCGUACACGGUGGAUGCCCUGGCAGUCAGAGGCGAUGAAGGACGUGCUAAUCUGCGAUAAGCGUCGGUAAGGUGAUAUGAACCGUUAUAACCGGCGAUUUCCGAAUGGGGAAACCCAGUGUGAUUCGACACACUAUCAUUAACUGAAUCCAUAGGUUAAUGAGGCGAACCGGGGGAACUGAAACAUCUAAGUACCCCGAGGAAAAGAAAUCAACCGAGAUUCCCCCAGUAGCGGCGAGCGAACGGGGAGCAGCCCAGAGCCUGAAUCAGUAUGUGUGUUAGUGGAAGCGUCUGGAAAGGCGCGCGAUACAGGGUGACAGCCCCGUACACAAAAAUGCACAUGCUGUGAGCUCGAUGAGUAGGGCGGGACACGUGGUAUCCUGUCUGAAUAUGGGGGGACCAUCCUCCAAGGCUAAAUACUCCUGACUGACCGAUAGUGAACCAGUACCGUGAGGGAAAGGCGAAAAGAACCCCGGCGAGGGGAGUGAAAAAGAACCUGAAACCGUGUACGUACAAGCAGUGGGAGCACGCUUAGGCGUGUGACUGCGUACCUUUUGUAUAAUGGGUCAGCGACUUAUAUUCUGUAGCAAGGUUAACCGAAUAGGGGAGCCGAAGGGAAACCGAGUCUUAACUGGGCGUUAAGUUGCAGGGUAUAGACCCGAAACCCGGUGAUCUAGCCAUGGGCAGGUUGAAGGUUGGGUAACACUAACUGGAGGACCGAACCGACUAAUGUUGAAAAAUUAGCGGAUGACUUGUGGCUGGGGGUGAAAGGCCAAUCAAACCGGGAGAUAGCUGGUUCUCCCCGAAAGCUAUUUAGGUAGCGCCUCGUGAAUUCAUCUCCGGGGGUAGAGCACUGUUUCGGCAAGGGGGUCAUCCCGACUUACCAACCCGAUGCAAACUGCGAAUACCGGAGAAUGUUAUCACGGGAGACACACGGCGGGUGCUAACGUCCGUCGUGAAGAGGGAAACAACCCAGACCGCCAGCUAAGGUCCCAAAGUCAUGGUUAAGUGGGAAACGAUGUGGGAAGGCCCAGACAGCCAGGAUGUUGGCUUAGAAGCAGCCAUCAUUUAAAGAAAGCGUAAUAGCUCACUGGUCGAGUCGGCCUGCGCGGAAGAUGUAACGGGGCUAAACCAUGCACCGAAGCUGCGGCAGCGACGCUGAUGCGUUGUUGGGUAGGGGAGCGUUCUGUAAGCCUGUGAAGGUGUGCUGUGAGGCAUGCUGGAGGUAUCAGAAGUGCGAAUGCUGACAUAAGUAACGAUAAAGCGGGUGAAAAGCCCGCUCGCCGGAAGACCAAGGGUUCCUGUCCAACGUUAAUCGGGGCAGGGUGAGUCGACCCCUAAGGCGAGGCCGAAAGGCGUAGUCGAUGGGAAACAGGUUAAUAUUCCUGUACUUGGUGUUACUGCGAAGGGGGGACGGAGAAGGCUAUGUUGGCCGGGCGACGGUUGUCCCGGUUUAAGCGUGUAGGCUGGUUUUCCAGGCAAAUCCGGAAAACUAAGGCUGAGGCGUGAUGACGAGGCACUACGGUGCUGAAGCAACAAAUGCCCAGCUUCCAGGAAAAGCCUCUAAGCAUCAGGUAACAUCAAAUCGUACCCCAAACCGACACAGGUGGUCAGGUAGAGAAUACCAAGGCGCUUGAGAGAACUCGGGUGAAGGAACUAGGCAAAAUGGUGCCGUAACUUCGGGAGAAGGCACGCUGAUAUGUAGGUGAAGUCCCUCGCGGAUGGAGCUGAAAUCAGUCGAAGAUACCAGCUGGCUGCAACUGUUUAUUAAAAACACAGCACUGUGCAAACACGAAAGUGGACGUAUACGGUGUGACGCCUGCCCGGUGCCGGAAGGUUAAUUGAUGGGGUCAGCGCAAGCGAAGCUCUUGAUCGAAGCCCCGGUAAACGGCGGCCGUAACUAUAACGGUCCUAAGGUAGCGAAAUUCCUUGUCGGGUAAGUUCCGACCUGCACGAAUGGCGUAAUGAUGGCCAGGCUGUCUCCACCCGAGACUCAGUGAAAUUGAACUCGCUGUGAAGAUGCAGUGUACCCGCGGCAAGACGGAAAGACCCCGUGAACCUUUACUAUAGCUUGACACUGAACAUUGAGCCUUGAUGUGUAGGAUAGGUGGGAGGCUUUGAAGUGUGGACGCCAGUCUGCAUGGAGCCGACCUUGAAAUACCACCCUUUAAUGUUUGAUGUUCUAACGUUGACCCGUAAUCCGGGUUGCGGACAGUGUCUGGUGGGUAGUUUGACUGGGGCGGUCUCCUCCUAAAGAGUAACGGAGGAGCACGAAGGUUGGCUAAUCCUGGUCGGACAUCAGGAGGUUAGUGCAAUGGCAUAAGCCAGCUUGACUGCGAGCGUGACGGCGCGAGCAGGUGCGAAAGCAGGUCAUAGUGAUCCGGUGGUUCUGAAUGGAAGGGCCAUCGCUCAACGGAUAAAAGGUACUCCGGGGAUAACAGGCUGAUACCGCCCAAGAGUUCAUAUCGACGGCGGUGUUUGGCACCUCGAUGUCGGCUCAUCACAUCCUGGGGCUGAAGUAGGUCCCAAGGGUAUGGCUGUUCGCCAUUUAAAGUGGUACGCGAGCUGGGUUUAGAACGUCGUGAGACAGUUCGGUCCCUAUCUGCCGUGGGCGCUGGAGAACUGAGGGGGGCUGGCUCCUAGUACGAGAGGACCGGAGUGGACGCAUCACUGGUGUUCGGGUUGUCAUGCCAAUGGCACUGCCCGGUAGCUAAAUGCGGAAGAGAUAAGUGCUGAAAGCAUCUAAGCACGAAACUUGCCCCGAGAUGAGUUCUCCCUGACCCUUUAAGGGUCCUGAAGGAACGUUGAAGACGACGACGUUGAUAGGCCGGGUGUGUAAGCGCAGCGAUGCGUUGAGCUAACCGGUACUAAUGAACCGUGAGGCUUAACCUU
This 2903-nucleotide ribosomal RNA is filed under the name Escherichia coli DEC8E. RNAcentral's name for it is "bacterial LSU rRNA". It matches the Rfam family "Bacterial large subunit ribosomal RNA". The record is from RNAcentral. Lineage: Bacteria; Pseudomonadati; Pseudomonadota; Gammaproteobacteria; Enterobacterales; Enterobacteriaceae.